GGGGUGAACCACAAAUGGCUGCUCUUUUCCGCCUUGUUUGGUGACAUGGGUGUGACACAACCAGCAUUUGUUUGUGAAGAUCCUUAGAGUAUGUUGCAGCUUUCUCUGGUUCUCUAGCCAGCCUCAAUUCUGUCCCUCGUAGAGCACACCCGAGUCUGGCGAGUGCAGGUCCACCAGGGGGGCAUAACAUGUACUGGUUUCACUGGAGUGAUAAGAUGUGGGUAAUCAGAUCCAAUGAGUAGAUGCUUGGCAGCGGCAGAUCCUUGAGAUGACAAUACCUCUCCUGCAGAGCUUAGACUGGCCUGAAUAUCUUGGUGUGAAGCAGUUGCUUGGAUCCGGCUCGAAGGACCAAAAAUGGUGUGAAAGACGUAUAUUGUGGAAAAAUAGGUGUGGCAACAAUCGCUUCAGGGUGUCGGAUAAAUUUGUGCUCAGUUCUAGGUUUGUCUGCAGACUCUGACUCAUCACCGCAUCACAAAGCUCCAAGUCUUUUCAAUGACAGUGACAGCAGCUUUUUUCAGGUGCAGAGGCGUCAGUGGAUUUUUAAAAAAGUAUUGUGAUUCCCUGCU
Scophthalmus maximus (turbot) is the source of this 566-nucleotide long non-coding RNA. RefSeq lists it as uncharacterized. The record is from RefSeq and is a predicted model, not a curated record. NCBI's taxonomy places the organism in Eukaryota, Metazoa, Chordata, Actinopteri, Pleuronectiformes, Scophthalmidae. The transcript is spliced from 4 exons.